AGCGAACGCUGGCGGCGUGCUUAACACAUGCAAGUCGAACGAGGGCCGUAGCAAUACGGCUACUCGUGGCGGACGGGUGCGUAACACGUGGAUAACCUUCCUUCAGGUGGGGAAUAACCCAGUGAAAAUUGGGCUAAUACCGCAUAACAAAACGAGGGCACAUGCUCUUGUUUUCAAAGGCGCAAGUCGCCAGAAGAGGGAUCCGCGGCCGAUUAGCUUGUUGGCGGGGUAACGGCCCACCAAGGCAUUGAUCGGUAGCCGGACUGAGAG
This 270-nucleotide ribosomal RNA is filed under the name uncultured bacterium. Its description in RNAcentral is "partial 16S ribosomal RNA". It matches the Rfam family "Bacterial small subunit ribosomal RNA", at positions 29 to 298 of the family's 1533-position model. The record is from RNAcentral.